RNAcentral lists this transfer RNA (630 nucleotides) under uncultured cyanobacterium. RNAcentral's name for it is "16S-23S ribosomal RNA intergenic spacer". The stretch from base 251 to 323 matches the Rfam family "tRNA". Lineage: Bacteria; Bacillati; Cyanobacteriota. RNAcentral also lists the same sequence under 1 other name. The record is from RNAcentral.
CAGGGAGACAAUAAAUUGAUUGUGAUGUCUAAGUUAUUUAUUCUUAGGCCGCAAUCCUGUCACCUUAAGGUCGAUCGGUACCUCAGGUUUUUGAAUUAGUUUUAUAAUUGAUUCUUUGAUUUCAGUUCCUAAACUUGUCUAGGUCACACCCAACAAAGGUUUCUCCUGGGCCAUUAGCUCAGGUGGUUAGAGCGCACCCCUGAUAAGGGUGAGGUCCCUGGUUCAAGUCCAGGAUGGCCCAUUCGUUGUUGGGGGUAUAGCUCAGUUGGUAGAGCGCCUGCUUUGCAAGCAGGAUGUCAGCGGUUCGAGUCCGCUUACCUCCACUGAAAACUAUCCUGAUAACUAAAUUCUGGAGAAAAAUUGUAGAUGUGACUUAGAAUUGUCUAUUUGAAGAGAACCUAGCUUCUUGUCAUCUUUUUAUAGUUGAUAAAAUGCUGGGCUCGCAUGGAUUAUUUCCAUGAGAAUUCAGUAGAACCUUGAAAACUGCAUAGAUUAGAAAGAAUAAAGCAUCUCAUGGAUGCAUAAUUCUAUUUUUAUAAUUUAGCCUUAAAACUAAAUUAUUUAAUUCUAGAAUUCAUGUUUAAUUCUUGAGUAAAAGCCGAGCACAAUUGAUUUUGUGAUUGUAUUUAA